This 200-nucleotide ribosomal RNA is filed under the name uncultured prokaryote. Its description in RNAcentral is "partial 16S ribosomal RNA". It matches the Rfam family "Bacterial small subunit ribosomal RNA", at positions 1183 to 1382 of the family's 1533-position model. The record is from RNAcentral.
CGUCAAAUCAUCAUGCCCCUUAUGACCUGGGCUACACACGUACUACAAUGGCCGCCAACAAAGGGAAGCGAAGUUGUGAAACGGAGCAAAACCCCAAAAGCGGUCUCAGUUCGGAUUGCAGGCUGAAACCCGCCUGUAUGAAGUCGGAAUUGCUAGUAAUCGCAGAUCAGCAUGCUGCGGUGAAUACGUUCCCGGGCCUU